RNAcentral lists this ribosomal RNA (587 nucleotides) under uncultured bacterium. RNAcentral's name for it is "bacterial SSU rRNA". It matches the Rfam family "Bacterial small subunit ribosomal RNA", at positions 338 to 916 of the family's 1533-position model. The record is from RNAcentral.
CCUACGGGAGGCAGCAGUGGGGAAUUUUGGACAAUGGGCGCAAGCCUGAUCCAGCCAUGCCGCGUGUGGGAAGAAGGCCUUCGGGUUGUAAACCACUUUUGUCAGGGAAGAAACGGCUCUUACUAAUAUUAGGGGCUAAUGACGGUACCUGAAGAAUAAGCACCGGCUAACUACGUGCCAGCAGCCGCGGUAAUACGUAGGGUGCAAGCGUUAAUCGGAAUUACUGGGCGUAAAGCGUGCGCAGGCGGCUUUGCAAGACAGAUGUGAAAUCCCCGGGCUCAACCUGGGAACUGCAUUUGUGACUGCAUGGCUAGAGUACGGUAGAGGGGGAUGGAAUUCCGCGUGUAGCAGUGAAAUGCGUAGAUAUGCGGAGGAACACCGAUGGCGAAGGCAAUCCCCUGGACCUGUACUGACGCUCAUGCACGAAAGCGUGGGGAGCAAACAGGAUUAGAUACCCUGGUAGUCCACGCCCUAAACGAUGUCAACUGGUUGUUGGACGGCUUGCUGUUCAGUAACGAAGCUAACGCGUGAAGUUGACCGCCUGGGGAGUACGGCCGCAAGGUUGAAAACUUAAGGAAAGUUGACGG